GGCUUCCACUCAUUGUCACCCGCCGGGAAGAUUUGAUCACAGAAACGUGUCCCGGUUUCUGCCUGGUGGUCACCGAGCUUCCGUGUUGUAAAUAAGCAGGACAUUUUUUACCCGACGGCUUCCUGUCGUGGGAGGCGGGUCUUUGGUUUUCACUCCAGAGUCCAGAGAUCCUCCCCAACGACGCCUGAGGAGCAAUUCAGUGGCGACAAAGAGAAGCACCCGCUUGUGUCGGCGGCCUGCUGACCCGUUGGGCGCGGUGGGGGCGGCGACCGCCGACCGCUGGUCCUCACGCUGCAGUGAGAAGCUGCUGCGUCGCUCAGUGAUGAAGAGUUGGAUCCACC
Molecule: long non-coding RNA, 341 nt
Organism: Gasterosteus aculeatus aculeatus (three-spined stickleback)
Lineage: Eukaryota; Metazoa; Chordata; Actinopteri; Perciformes; Gasterosteidae
Source: Ensembl